This 964-nucleotide ribosomal RNA is filed under the name Plakinastrella sp. BZ294. RNAcentral's name for it is "SSU rRNA". The record is from RNAcentral. Lineage: Eukaryota; Metazoa; Porifera; Homoscleromorpha; Homosclerophorida; Plakinidae.
CUUGUCUCAAGACUAAGCCAUGCAUGUCCAAGUAUAAGCGAUCUUAUACGGCGAAACUGCGAAUGGCUCAUUAAAUCAGUUAUAGUUUAUUUGAUGGUCACCGUCCACAUGGAUAACCGUGGUAAUUCUAGAGCUAAUACAUGCGUCGAGUCCCGACUUUYGCGGAAGGGAUGUAUUUAUUAGAUUCAAAACCAAUGCGGGGCUCCGGUCCCGGUCUUUGGUGAUUCAUGGUAACUGUUCGGAGCGCACGGCCCUGGUGCCGGCGCCGGAUCAUUCAAGUUUCUGCCCUAUCAACUGUCGAUGGUAAGGUAUUGGCUUACCAUGGUUGCAACGGGUGACGGAGAAUUAGGGUUCGAUUCCGGAGAGGGAGCCUGAGAAACGGCUACCACAUCCAAGGAAGGCAGCAGGCGCGCAAAUUACCCAAUCCCGACACGGGGAGGUAGUGACAAUAAAUAACAAUACAGGGCUUUUUCAAGUCUUGUAAUUGGAAUGAGAACAAUUUAAAUCCCUUAACGAGGAACAAUUGGAGGGCAAGUCUGGUGCCAGCAGCCGCGGUAAUUCCAGCUCCAAUAGCGUAUAUUAAAGUUGUUGCAGUUAAAAAGCUCGUAGUUGGAUUUCGGCGGCGCGCUCUCGGUCCGCCUGGCGGCGUGUCACUGGGAGCGCGCGGCUUUCUCGGCAGGGCCGCGCGUGCUCUUAGUUGAGCGUGCGCGGGACUGUCGACGUUUACUUUGAAAAAAUCAGAGUGUUCAAAGCAGGCCGUUGGCUUGGAUACAUUAGCAUGGAAUAAUGGAAUAGGACGUCGGUCCUAUUUUGUUGGUUUCUGGGACCGAGGUAAUGAUUAAUAGGGACAGUUGGGGGCAUUCGUAUUCAAUUGUCAGAGGUGAAAUUCUUGGAUUUAUGGAAGACGAACGCAUGCGAAAGCAUUUGCCAAGGAUGUUUUCGUUAAUCAAGAACGAAAGUUGGA